CCUACGGGUGGCAGCAGUGAGGAAUAUUGGUCAAUGGACGAGAGUCUGAACCAGCCAAGUAGCGUGAAGGAUGACUGCCCUAUGGGUUGUAAACUUCUUUUAUAUGGGAAUAAAAUGUUCCACGUGUGGGAUUUUGUAUGUACCAUAUGAAUAAGGAUAGGCUAACUCCGUGCCAGCAGCCGCGGUAAUACGGAGGAUCCGAGCGUUAUCCGGAUUUAUUGGGUUUAAAGGGAGCGUAAGUGGAUUGUUAAGUCAGUUGUGAAAGUUUGCGGCUCAACCGUAAAAUUGCAGUUGAAACUGGCAGUCUUGAGUACAGUAGAGGUGGGCGGAAUUCGUGGUGUAGCGGUGAAAUGCUUAGAUAUCACGAAGAACUCCGAUUGCGAAGGCAGUUCACUGGACUGCAACUGACACUGAGGCUCGAAAGUGUGGGUAUCAAACAGGAUUAGAUACCCGUGUAGUC
Molecule: ribosomal RNA, 460 nt
Filed under: uncultured bacterium
Lineage: Bacteria
Description: partial 16S ribosomal RNA
Rfam family: Bacterial small subunit ribosomal RNA
Source: RNAcentral